CAGGGCCCAGCGCGGGAAAGAACGGAGAAGUUCACUCUGAAGCUUCGCUUCCGCUCAGACAUUGAAGAGCUCGUCCUGUACCAGCCUACGCUGACCCGGAUCGAACUACUUGCGUACGCCGGCGGCUACCUGGGCAUAUGGCUCGGAAUGUCGGCCCUCGCAUUCCUCUUGGAUCUCCACGGUAAAGCGUAUUGGCACAAGAAAGAAAUCAAGAAGAUCUUCAGUACCAUGUUGACACCGAGCGGCCAAAGUUUGUGGCUGAAAAAGAAACAACGAUGGACUGACCCUGUGAUUCGCGUCCGCUAAAGAAUGUUCAGCUCAAGUAGCUGCUUCGAGAUCAAGGUGCCUGCAAUAUCUCCUAACGAAAAAGAAAAAAAAUAAGGAAAAAAGAAGAAGCGCUGCAUGAAUUGAAAAAGUAGACGCAGCAAUCCCUUCAUCACAAUCUCAGCCUGCAUAAAGUUGCUCCGAAAAUAACAAAAUCUGAUGUAUUCAUUUCUUGCAGACCAGCAUCAUAUGAAGCACGUAGGACUAUGAUAAAGGGUGUCGACCAUUCUCGUUAACCUAGUUUCUUUUUCUUUGUGUUUUUGUGUUUCAC
Long non-coding RNA from Dermacentor andersoni, 595 nucleotides. RefSeq lists it as uncharacterized. The record is from RefSeq and is a predicted model, not a curated record. Lineage: Eukaryota; Metazoa; Arthropoda; Arachnida; Ixodida; Ixodidae.